Meriones unguiculatus (Mongolian gerbil) is the source of this 991-nucleotide long non-coding RNA. RefSeq lists it as uncharacterized. The transcript is spliced from 2 exons. The record is from RefSeq and is a predicted model, not a curated record. NCBI's taxonomy places the organism in Eukaryota, Metazoa, Chordata, Mammalia, Rodentia, Muridae.
CCAGAAGUGUUCAGCAUGAUCUGAAAUUGUAGACUUUUCAGCAAAUGGGGCCGAUUCUCAAGGACAAUCAAUCAAGAGCAAUCAAUGCAAUCAACAAAGGCCUAGCUCGAGAUAAUGAGGAGAUUGGAAUUCGCAGCUUGACCAUGAAGACACCACUGUGAUAAUGACACAUGAAACAAGGUGAACCCCGCUCACGCGUCACGCACUCACCUCGAUCCACUAAUAGGUCUUAAUGACUUUGCAAGAAAAAGAAGCUGCGGAUUGUGCUGCAGAGGACCCAAUCAGUAGGAAAGGUGUAAAACAUGAGUGAAUACAGAACGUUUCUUCCACGGAGGGCGUCUGGCCUGAUGUGAUGUGUGAUCAGUUCCAGACUUCAGAGGAAUCUUUCAGACUUAGAAACCUCAAGCCAAAUUGCUCUGACAUGGUAGAACACCUGGAUAUUGUAAGAAUUAAGCUGAAGUUGCCUCUGUGUGUGUGUGUGGGGGGGGGUGAAUGUUAAACCCUGUCCUUAAGGAAUUUGCUGGGGUGAAGUUGUGAGGAACUGGAGUUCACGAUGCGAAGGUCACUGAACAUGUGCGAGCCCUCAGAAAUGGUGGUAGGAUCAUCCGUGAAAGCCGUUCCCAUGUGGGGCUUCCCAGCUGUGAGACAGAAAAUAAAGCUAUUUCAGGGUGGAAGGACAGAAAUCGGGCUAGCAGAAACAUGAGGCAGAUCCAGUCAAAACUGGCCAGCCAGCUUUGUGAAGGAAACAAACAGAAUUUCUCAAACAAGAAAGGCAAUAAUUGGAGCUGGCCAUGCUCGCACACAGGCCUGGCACGUGGGAGAUGGAGGAAGGAGAGUCAGGAAUUCGAGAUCAUCUUUGGCUUCAGAGUGAAUUCGGAGUCCGCUUGAUUCUGUCUCAGAAGAAUCAAAACUGGGCUGGAAAGAUGGCUCAGAGGUUAAGAGCCCUUGUUGCUCUUGCAGAGGACCUGGAUUUUGUUCCUAGUCCUCAGAU